This 495-nucleotide ribosomal RNA is filed under the name uncultured bacterium. RNAcentral's name for it is "partial 16S ribosomal RNA". It matches the Rfam family "Bacterial small subunit ribosomal RNA", at positions 28 to 507 of the family's 1533-position model. The record is from RNAcentral.
GAUGAACGCUGGCGGCGUGCCUAAUACAUGCAAGUAGAACGCUGAAGGAGGAGCUUGCUCUUCUGGAUGAGUUGCGAACGGGUGAGUAACGCGUAGGUAACCUGCCUGGUAGCGGGGGAUAACUAUUGGAAACCAUAGCUAAUACCGCAUGACAACAGUUAUUGCAUGAUAACUGUUUAAAAGUGGCAACUGCUCCACUACAAGAUGGACCUGCGUUGUAUUAGCUAGUUGGUGAGGUAACGGCUCACCAAGGCGACGAUACAUAGCCGACCUGAGAGGGUGAUCGGCCACACUGGGACUGAGACACGGCCCAGACUCCUACGGGAGGCAGCAGUAGGGAAUCUUCGGCAAUGGACGGAAGUCUGACCGAGCAACGCCGCGUGAGUGAAGAAGGUUUUCGGAUCGUAAAGCUCUGUUGUAAGAGAAGAACGAGUGUGAGAGUGGAAAGUUCACACUGUGACGGUAUCUUACCAGAAAGGGACGGCUAACUACGUG